UGAGAGAGAGAGAGUGAGUGUGUGUGUGUAUGUGUGGGGGAGGGAGAGGUCGGUAGGUAGUGCACUGCUCGGCGGCGGAGCGGGCCUGGCCGCCUAUAGAGCACUCAUAAAUGACUGGCUCGAAGAGUCUGGCUUGGUAAAAUCAUCACCCUUGUCAAAGAGCAGCAAACUUGACGAUCCAGGGAGCAUCAUGCGGCUAUACAGCUUUCUAAUGAAAAAUUCCAUUCCCAAACAGAUCGAAUAUUACUCUCGGUUCUCCCCAUCUCCUCUAUCCAUAAAGCAAUUUCUGGAUUUCGGCCGUGACAAUGCAUGUGAAAAGACAUCUUUUAUGUUCUUACGAAAGGAGCUACCGGUUCGAUUGGCUAAUACAAUGAGAGAAGUGAACUUGUUGCCUGAUAACCUGCUCAGCAGGCCCUCUGUGAGACUUGUUCAGAGCUGGUAUAUGCAGAGUUUUUUAGAACUGCUAGAGUUUCAGAACAAAGGCCCUGAAGAUCCUCCUGUGUCGGAUAAUUUUCUAGAAUCUCUGAUUAAAAUCCGAAAUCGACACAAUGAUGUGGUGCCAACCAUGGCUCAGGGAGUUAUUGAAUAUAAGGAAAAGUAUGGCUUUGACCCAUUUAUUAGUAGUAACAUUCAAUACUUUCUGGACCGUUUCUAUACCAGCCGUAUUUCAUUUCGGAUGCUAAUCAACCAACACACUCUGCUGUUUGGGGGCAACACAAAUCCAGCACAUCCUAAGCAUAUUGGAAGUAUUGAUCCAAACUGCAAUGUUGCUGAUGUUGUUAAAGAUGCAUAUGAGACUGCAAAGAUGCUAUGUGAACAGUAUUACAUGGGAUCCCCAGAACUGGAGAUUUAUGAAUUUAAUGCUAAAACACCUGUGAAACCUAUCCAAGUGGUGUAUGUACCCUCACAUCUCUUUCACAUGUUGUUCGAACUUUUCAAAAAUUCAAUGAGAGCUACUGUGGAACUUCAUGAAGGGAGAAAAGAAGGUUACCCUCCGAUCAAAACUUUGGUGACAUUGGGGAAAGAAGAUUUGUCUAUUAAGAUAUCUGAUAAAGGGGGCGGUGUUCCUCUGCGGAAGAUUGACCGUCUAUUUAAUUAUAUGUAUUCAACUGCUCCCAGCCCCAGCUUGCAACCAUCACAGGCUGCUCCUCUGGCUGGAUUUGGAUAUGGCUUGCCAAUCUCCCGCCUAUAUGCUCGGUAUUUUCAAGGGGACCUCAAACUGUAUUCCAUGGAAGGCGUGGGUACAGAUGCAGUCAUCUAUCUUAAGGCUCUGUCAAGUGAGUCAUUUGAACGACUUCCUGUUUUUAACAAAUCAGCUUGGCGGCAUUACCAGACCACUCCAGAAGCAGAUGAUUGGAGCAAUCCUAGCAGUGAACCUAGGGAUGCUUCCAAGUACAAGGCCAACCGGUAAUCCUGUUCUAUCCUCAGCCUGAUGACCAGUGUUCUGGUUUCAUAGAAACCCAAGCUUUGUGUGUUUCUUCCCUUGGAUCCAUCAACAGCAGAUGGCCAAUACAAAACAAAGAACUCUGGGACAUUUAGGUUGCAGCCAAGUGGAGAGGAGGAAAUCUGGGAACUUCUGGGCACCAACAGAAGAAAAUCCAAGUUGUCAAGUAUUGUUCAGAACAAUGUUUAAAUUCCUCCUCACAAAAACAGUAGUAUUGUCUUUAAUUAAGUAAGACUUGUAUUUUCUUUAAAAUAGGUUUUGGUGUUUUUUAGCACUUCAAAAUUAAAGCUAAAGUUAAAUAUAUUCAAUUGAUACCAACUCUUGGUUUCAUGUUCUUAACUGCCAUAAAUCUUUUCAGUACUGAUACCACCAUGCUUGCUUAUAUUCUGAUGCUGUGUUACUUCCAAUGUGUGAAGCUGCUCCAAAACUCAUCAAACAAAACACAUUUCAUAUUCUUCCAAUUUGCUGGAGGGCUACUGUACUGACAGAAAUACCCAAGUUUAAUUGUUUCAAGAAAAACAAUACAUAUUGGAAAAAAUGAAUAUUAGCUGGUUAUUUGGCCCAUAUUGCAUUUGUACUAAAGAUGUUUAACAUUGGGAUUCCAUAGCUGGUCUGAUUCAAUUCUGUUCUGGUGAGAAGAUCUCGGUGAAGUCUUUUCCAGUAUUCAAGAUUACAAUAACUCCUAUGUAUCUGCUGUCAAAAUAAUGUAAAUAAACCUGGGGCAACUCUCCAGGCAGACUUUAGUAAGCUCAUAGCUACUUUGGACUUAUAAGAUAGGGUCAGAUUGAGAGGGCUCUUCGCUCAUUUGAUCUCAUUCUUCCAUAGGUUCAAACAUAGUGUGCCAGAUCUUGCCAGAGUCGGGAUCUCACAGUGUGAUCUAUUAAUUAAAUGCUUUUCUGCGCCUUUCAACUCAAUGUUUUUGCAUUGUAAGUUGCUUGAAGUGUGAGUUGACGACAGUUUGGCAAGGGCAAAUGGGCAUGUGGGGCCUCAAUGAACAUCAAAACCAAAGAUGCAUCCCUUUAACCAAUGUGAUUUAAAGAUAAAGAAGGAAACAAGGUCAACUAAGAAAGUGGAUGAACUAAAGUCAAAUCAGAUA
This is an RNA transcript of Carcharodon carcharias (great white shark), 2540 nucleotides long. It is a transcript of the gene named pyruvate dehydrogenase kinase, isozyme 3a, with no coding region annotated. Lineage: Eukaryota; Metazoa; Chordata; Chondrichthyes; Lamniformes; Lamnidae. The record is from RefSeq and is a predicted model, not a curated record. The transcript is spliced from 12 exons.